UGCGUAGGCGGUUACUUAAGUAGGGUGUGAAAUGUCCCGGCUCAACCGGGGAAUGGCGCUCUAAACUGGGUGGCUUGAGUGAGAUAGAGGUGUGCGGAACUUCCGGUGGAGCGGUGAAAUGUGUUGAUAUCGGAGGGAACACCAUUGGCGAAAGCGGCACACUGGGUCUCAACUGACGCUGAGGCACGAAAGCCAGGGGAGGCAAACG
This 208-nucleotide ribosomal RNA is filed under the name uncultured bacterium. Its description in RNAcentral is "partial 16S ribosomal RNA". It matches the Rfam family "Bacterial small subunit ribosomal RNA", at positions 568 to 775 of the family's 1533-position model. The record is from RNAcentral.